GAAAUCUUCAAAGUAAACCUUUUGUUAAUUCAAUUGGUCUUUUUUACUUUGGUUUUGGAGGAUCUUAUUGCAGCUUCACACCUGCUCCUCUUUGUGCAUUAGCUGGAUCUCAGUGUUAUGCUUGGUUCCACUCGGCGUGAUAAGUUAUCUAUCGCUGAGGACACCCGUAAAAAAGGUGGCCAAGGUAAAUGCAGAUGAACCGCUUCUAAUAGUCCAUUGACUUGGACAAUAUUCUAUUUUAUGAUCUGAUCUCAAAUCAGGUAGGACUACCCGCUGAACUUAA
Molecule: unclassified non-coding RNA, 283 nt
Filed under: Thanatephorus cucumeris
Lineage: Eukaryota; Fungi; Basidiomycota; Agaricomycetes; Cantharellales; Ceratobasidiaceae
Description: partial ITS2
Source: RNAcentral